ACUAUUUUGGCAGAAGAUUUAGUGCUAUGGAUUUAGAUUCUAUAAAUAUAAUUAAUAAUUAUAAAUAGUA
This 70-nucleotide transfer RNA is filed under the name Arria pallida. RNAcentral's name for it is "tRNA-Leu". Lineage: Eukaryota; Metazoa; Arthropoda; Insecta; Mantodea; Haaniidae. The record is from RNAcentral.